Molecule: ribosomal RNA, 364 nt
Filed under: Acidimicrobiaceae bacterium
Lineage: Bacteria; Bacillati; Actinomycetota; Acidimicrobiia; Acidimicrobiales; Acidimicrobiaceae
Description: bacterial SSU rRNA
Rfam family: Bacterial small subunit ribosomal RNA
Source: RNAcentral
UUGAUGGAGAGUUUGAUUCUGGCUCAGAAUGAACGCUGGCGGCGUGCUUAACACAUGCAAGUCGAACGGAAUCGAAGGAGCUUGCUCCUGAAAAUUUAGUGGCGAACGGGUGAGUAUCACGUGAGCAACCUGCCCCGAAGACUGGGAUAACACCGGGAAACCGGUGCUAAUACCGGAUGACUUUCGUUGAUCGCAUGAUCGAUGAAAGAAAUGUUUUUUCGCUUCGGGAGGGGCUCGCGGUCCAUCAGCUUGUUGGCGGGGUAAUGGCCCACCAAGGCUACGACGGAUAGCUGGUCUGAGAGGACGAUCAGCCACACUGGAACUGAGACACGGUCCAGACUCCUACGGGAGGCAGCAGUGGGGA